This 85-nucleotide transfer RNA is filed under the name Rickettsiales bacterium. Its description in RNAcentral is "tRNA-Leu". It matches the Rfam family "tRNA". From Rfam's summary of the family: Transfer RNA (tRNA) molecules are approximately 80 nucleotides in length. Lineage: Bacteria; Pseudomonadati; Pseudomonadota; Alphaproteobacteria; Rickettsiales. The record is from RNAcentral.
GGGCAUAUGGCGAAAUUGGUAGACGCGCUAGUUUCAGGUACUAGUGGAGCAAUCCAUGGAGGUUCAAGUCCUCUUAUGCCCACCA